GGGUGCGGUUCGCCGCCCCCGACGUCGCGAGAAGUCCAUUGAACCUUAUCAUUUAGAGGAAGGAGAAGUCGUAACAAGGUUUCCGUAGGUGAACCUGCGGAAGGAUCAUUG
Molecule: ribosomal RNA, 111 nt
Filed under: Ichnanthus leptophyllus
Lineage: Eukaryota; Viridiplantae; Streptophyta; Magnoliopsida; Poales; Poaceae
Description: partial 18S ribosomal RNA
Rfam family: Eukaryotic small subunit ribosomal RNA
Source: RNAcentral